GAUGAACGCUGGCGGCGUGCCUAAUACAUGCAAGUCGAGCGAACAGACGAGGAGCUUGCUCCUCUGACGUUAGCGGCGGACGGGUGAGUAACACGUGGAUAACCUACCUAUAAGACUGGGAUAACUUCGGGAAACCGGAGCUAAUACCGGAUAAUAUAUUGAACCGCAUGGUUCAAUAGUGAAAGACGGUUUUGCUGUCACUUAUAGAUGGAUCCGCGCCGCAUUAGCUAGUUGGUAAGGUAACGGCUUACCAAGGCAACGAUGCGUAGCCGACCUGAGAGGGGGAUCGGCCACACUGGAACUGAGACACGGUCCAGACUCCUAAGGGAGGCAGCAGUAGGGAAUCUUCCGCAAAGGGCGAAAGCUUGACGGAGCAACGCCGCGUGAGUGAUGAAGGUCUUCGGAUCGUAAAACUCUGUUAUUAGGGAAGAACAAAUGUGUAAGUAACUAUGCACGUCUUGACGGUACCUAAUCAGAAAGCCACGGCUAACUACGUG
RNAcentral lists this ribosomal RNA (497 nucleotides) under uncultured bacterium. RNAcentral describes it as "partial 16S ribosomal RNA". It matches the Rfam family "Bacterial small subunit ribosomal RNA", at positions 28 to 507 of the family's 1533-position model. The record is from RNAcentral.